Molecule: long non-coding RNA, 434 nt
Organism: Anolis carolinensis (green anole)
Lineage: Eukaryota; Metazoa; Chordata; Lepidosauria; Squamata; Anolidae
Exons: 2
Source: RefSeq, a predicted model, not a curated record
AGGACUCACAGGUUGAGAACCACUGAACUAAGGUGUGGACCAGCAUGGCCAAGCCAGGCUUCUCUGGUACGCUCCCAGUUGGCACACAAGGUUUAAUUGUAGGAAGGCCCACCCUGCCACCUGGACACCUGAGCUAGUGAAAGGAAAUGAGGACAGAAGCAUUAGUGAAGAAUGAAAAAGAGGAAGCAGAUGGCAAUGAUGACUGGAUAAGAUGAAGACUGAAUACUUCACUGAGCCUCCAGUAUCUGGAGGAUGGAAAUGGAAUUCCUAUCCUUAAAGGAGUGCGGUGAGCUCCAGAGUAACAGGAAAAUAAAGAAAGUGGAAGCAAACAUUUUCUAAGUACCAUAUUGUGUAUGAACAGAGGAAAUCAAAAACGUUCAAAUAAUUCCAAACCCAUAAUAAUACUGUAAUUCAAAUAAAGGCAUUUUAAUAUA